AGCAGCCGCGGUAAUUCCAGCUCCAAUAGCGUAUAUUAAAGUUGUUGCAGUUAAAAAGCUCGUAGUUGAGCUUCGGGAUCAAUUGAUAUGGUCAUGCCUUGGUAUGUACUGUUCAUAUUGGUUCUCACCUUCUAAUGAACCAUAAUGUCAUUUAUUUGAUGUUAUGGGGAAUUAGGACUGUUACCUUAGAAAAAUUAGAGUGUUUAAAGCAGGCUCACGCUUGAAUACAUUAGCAUGGAAUAAUGAAAUAGGACAUCGCAUUCUAUUUUGUUGGUUUCUAGGAUCGAUGUAAUGAUUAAUAGGGAUAGUUGGGGGCAUUAGUAUUCAAUUGUCAGAGGUGAAAUUCUUGGAUUUAUUGAAGACUAACUACUGCGAAAGCAUUUGCCAAGGAUGUUU
This 396-nucleotide small RNA is filed under the name uncultured Entrophospora. RNAcentral's name for it is "SSU rRNA". It matches the Rfam family "Eukaryotic small subunit ribosomal RNA", at positions 569 to 969 of the family's 1831-position model. Lineage: Eukaryota; Fungi; Glomeromycota; Glomeromycetes; Entrophosporales; Entrophosporaceae. The record is from RNAcentral.